RNAcentral lists this ribosomal RNA (487 nucleotides) under uncultured bacterium. Its description in RNAcentral is "bacterial SSU rRNA". It matches the Rfam family "Bacterial small subunit ribosomal RNA", at positions 28 to 507 of the family's 1533-position model. The record is from RNAcentral.
GAUGAACGCUAGCGGCAGGCCUAACACAUGCAAGUCGAGGGGUAACAUAGAAAAGCUUGCUUUUCUGAUGACGACCGGCGCACGGGUGCGUAACGCGUAUACAACCUACCUUUUAGCGGGGAAUAGCCCAGGGAAACUUGGAUUAAUGCCUCAUAGUAUAUAAGCUUCUCCUGAAGUUUAUAUUAAACAUUUAUGGCUAUUAGAUGGGUAUGCGUCCUAUUAGCUAGUUGGUGUGGUAACGGCACACCAAGGCUACGAUAGGUAGGGGUCCUGAGAGGGAGAUCCCCACACUGGUACUGAGACACGGACCAGACUCCUACGGGAGGCAGCAGUGAGGAAUAUUGGACAAUGGGCGAGAGCCUGAUCCAGCCAUGCCGCGUGCAGGAAGACUGCCCUAUGGGUUGUAAACUGCUUUUACAGAGGAAGAACCACCCCCACGUGUGGGGGUUUGACGGUACUCUGCGAAUAAGGAUCGGCUAACUCCGUG